AUUAUGGGAUCUAACUAUAGUUAUACAAGGGCUAUCAUACCAUGAACAAGAGGGUUGGUUCACAGAAGUCAAUUUGAUGAAAGGGAUACAUGAUUAUGGUCAGAUGCCAUAAUUAUACCAAGUGAUCAUAAAAAUGAUGCUAAAUUUUAAUCUGCAAGAAUCAAGUAGAAAGAAGAUCAGGUAAUAGCAUCCCACGACCGUACAUUGAAGGCAUGAUCAUAGUAUGUGGUUAUGGGAAGGAACUCUAGAUUUGGAAGGUUCAAAAGUUGAAGAGUAGGAUUAUUAGAUGACAAUAAAGUCAUAAUAGAACUAUACCAUCAAAGACCCUAAGGUGAUAAAGUUCAUGGGUUAACUAGGAGUAUUCAAAGAAAAUCAUGGGUUUUAACCAUGAUCAUACCUUUCUUUCAUCUAAGGCAACUGUCCCACAUUUCCUAUUUUGUUUAGGAUAGGAUUCAUUUUGUCUAUAAAUAAUCUUAUAGGUCUAUUUGUAUGAGGUGACACCACUUCAUAUUUUACAAUAUUAUAUUUUGAAAUUCUAAGACAUAUUCUUGGGACUUUUGGAACAUAAUUUAUAGAGUUUUAAUUCAAGUUCGAAUUUUGUAGCUU
This 606-nucleotide long non-coding RNA is filed under the name Capsicum annuum. RNAcentral describes it as "long non-coding RNA (CANN_LNC011189)". The record is from RNAcentral. Lineage: Eukaryota; Viridiplantae; Streptophyta; Magnoliopsida; Solanales; Solanaceae.